RNAcentral lists this ribosomal RNA (288 nucleotides) under uncultured bacterium. RNAcentral's name for it is "partial 16S ribosomal RNA". It matches the Rfam family "Bacterial small subunit ribosomal RNA", at positions 29 to 334 of the family's 1533-position model. The record is from RNAcentral.
AACGAACGCUGGCGGCAUGCCUAACACAUGCAAGUCGAAGGAGAAGCCACUUUCGGGUGGUGGAGACUGGCGGACGGGUGAGUAACGCGUGGGAACCUGCCCUUGGGUACGGAAUAACAUCGGGAAACCGGUGCUAACACCGUAUACGCCUUAUGGGGGAAAGAUUUAUCGCCCUUGGAUGGGCCCGCGUUAGAUUAGCUAGUUGGUGGGGUAAUGGCUUACCAAGGCGACGAUCUAUAGCUGGUUUGAGAGGAUGAUCAGCCACACUGGGACUGAGACACGGCCCAG